This 253-nucleotide ribosomal RNA is filed under the name uncultured bacterium. RNAcentral describes it as "partial 16S ribosomal RNA". It matches the Rfam family "Bacterial small subunit ribosomal RNA", at positions 524 to 776 of the family's 1533-position model. The record is from RNAcentral.
UACGUAGGCAGCGAGCGUUGUUCGGAAUUACUGGGCGUAAAGAGUGUGUAGGCGGUGCUCUAAGUUCGGUGUGAAAUCUCCUGGCUCAACUGGGAGGGUGCGCCGGAAACUGGAGUGCUUGAGUGUGGGAGAGGAAAGCGGAAUUCCUGGUGUAGCGGUGAAAUGCGUAGAUAUCAGGAGGAACACCUGUGGUGUAGACGGCUUUCUGGACCAUAGCUGACGCUGAGACACGAAAGCGUGGGUAGCAAACAGG